This 253-nucleotide ribosomal RNA is filed under the name uncultured bacterium. RNAcentral describes it as "partial 16S ribosomal RNA". It matches the Rfam family "Bacterial small subunit ribosomal RNA", at positions 524 to 776 of the family's 1533-position model. The record is from RNAcentral.
GACGAACCGUACAAACGUUAUUCGGAAUCACUGGGCUUAAAGGGUGCGUAGGCGGCGCGGUAAGUCGGGUGUGAAAUCUCGGAGCUUAACUCCGAAACUGCAUUCGAUACUGCCGUGCUUGAGGACUGGAGAGGAGACUGGAAUUUACGGUGUAGCGGUGAAAUGCGUAGAUAUCGUAAGGAAGACCAGUGGCGAAGGCGGGUCUCUGGACAGUUCCUGACGCUGAGGCACGAAGGUCAGGGGAGCAAACGGG